UACGUAGGCGGAAAAUUAAGUCAGUAGUGAAAUCCCGCAGCUUAACUGUGGAACUGUUAUUGAUACUGGUUUUCUUGAAUAUAGUUGAGGUAGGCGGAAUAUGUAAUGUAGCGGUGAAAUGCUUAGAUAUUACACAGAACACCGAUUGCGAAGGCAGCUUACUAAGCUAUGAUUGACGCUGAGGUACGAAAGCGUGGGGAGCGAACAGGAUUAGAUACCCUGGUAGUCC
RNAcentral lists this ribosomal RNA (229 nucleotides) under uncultured bacterium. RNAcentral's name for it is "partial 16S ribosomal RNA". It matches the Rfam family "Bacterial small subunit ribosomal RNA", at positions 568 to 796 of the family's 1533-position model. The record is from RNAcentral.